GACGAACGCUGGCGGCGUGCUUAACACAUGCAAGUCGAACGGAAAGGCCCUGCUUUUGUGGGGUGCUCGAGUGGCGAACGGGUGAGUAACACGUGAGUAACCUGCCCUUGACUUUGGGAUAACUUCAGGAAACUGGGGCUAAUACCGGAUAGGAGCUCCUGCUGCAUGGUGGGGGUUGGAAAGUUUCGGCGGUUGGGGAUGGACUCGCGGCUUAUCAGCUUGUUGGUGGGGUAGUGGUUUACCAAGGCUUUGACGGGUAGCCGGCCUGAGAGGGUGACCGGCCACAUUGGGACUGAGAUACGGCCCAGACUCCUACGGGAGGCAGCAGUGGGGAAUAUUGAACAAUGGGCGGAAGCCUGAUGCAGCAACGCCGCGUGCGGGAUGACGGCCUUCGGGUUGUAAACCGCUUUCGCCUGUGACGAAGCGUGAGUGACGGUAAUGGGUAAAGAAGCACCGGCUAACUACGUG
Molecule: ribosomal RNA, 468 nt
Filed under: uncultured bacterium
Lineage: Bacteria
Description: partial 16S ribosomal RNA
Rfam family: Bacterial small subunit ribosomal RNA
Source: RNAcentral